GCCUGGUCUGGCGCGCGCUCGCUGCGCUGCAGUCGCGGCAGCAACAGGGCGGUUCGGUCCAUCAUCAGGUU
Molecule: transfer RNA, 71 nt
Filed under: Enterobacter sp. DC3
Lineage: Bacteria; Pseudomonadati; Pseudomonadota; Gammaproteobacteria; Enterobacterales; Enterobacteriaceae
Also listed under: 1 other name
Description: tRNA-Cys
Source: RNAcentral